AGGAAAGUAGGCAGAACCAGGAUGCUUGU
This 29-nucleotide non-coding RNA is filed under the name Cricetulus griseus (Chinese hamster). The record is from RNAcentral. Lineage: Eukaryota; Metazoa; Chordata; Mammalia; Rodentia; Cricetidae.